This 116-nucleotide small RNA is filed under the name Klebsiella aerogenes. RNAcentral describes it as "partial RtT sRNA". It matches the Rfam family "RtT RNA", at positions 18 to 130 of the family's 130-position model. From Rfam's summary of the family: This family represents a bacterial cis-regulatory element known as RtT RNA. The exact function of RtT is unknown although it is thought that it may be involved in changing the cellular response in relation to amino acid starvation. The record is from RNAcentral. Lineage: Bacteria; Pseudomonadati; Pseudomonadota; Gammaproteobacteria; Enterobacterales; Enterobacteriaceae.
AAGGAUGAGAAGCUUCGACUAAGGUUCGACUCGAGCGCCAGCGAGAAAACGUUGCCGCAGGCAACGGCCCGAAGGGCGAGGCGCUUUAGCGCCGAGUAAUCCUUCCCCCACCACCA